Molecule: ribosomal RNA, 119 nt
Filed under: Astyanax mexicanus (Mexican tetra)
Lineage: Eukaryota; Metazoa; Chordata; Actinopteri; Characiformes; Acestrorhamphidae
Source: RNAcentral
GCUUACGGUCACACUACCCUGAGAACGCCCGAUCUCAUCUGAUCUCGGAAGCUAAGCAGGGUUUGGCUUGGUUAGUACUUGGAUAGGAGACGACCUGGGAACACCAGGGGUCUCAUGUA